AUUGAACGCUGGCGGCAUGCUUUACACAUGCAAGUCGAACGGCAGCGAGAGAGAAGCUUGCUUCUCUUGUCGGCGAGUGGCGAACGGGUGAGUAACACAUCGGAACGUACCCUGUAGUGGGGGAUAACUACUCGAAAGAGUAGCUAAUACCGCAUACAACCUGAGGGUAAAAGUGGGGGACCGCAAGGCCUCACGCUAUAGGAGCGGCCGAUGGAAGAUUAGCUAGUUGGUAGGGUAAAGGCCUACCAAGGCGACGAUCUUUAGCGGGUCUGAGAGGACGAUCCGCCACACUGGGACUGAGACACGGCCCAGACUCCUACGGGAGGCAGCAGUGGGGAAUUUUGGACAAUGGGCGAAAGCCUGAUCCAGCAAUGCCGCGUGAGUGAAGAAGGCC
This 394-nucleotide ribosomal RNA is filed under the name uncultured bacterium. RNAcentral's name for it is "bacterial SSU rRNA". It matches the Rfam family "Bacterial small subunit ribosomal RNA", at positions 30 to 416 of the family's 1533-position model. The record is from RNAcentral.